GACACUUUGGCCGAGUGGUUAAGGCGACAGACUUGAAUCUUAUCUCCUGAUAUAGAUUCCGACAUCUGUUUCAUUCGUGAGCGCAGGUUCGAACCCUGCAGGUGUCG
This 107-nucleotide transfer RNA is filed under the name Alectoria sarmentosa. RNAcentral describes it as "tRNA-Ser". It matches the Rfam family "tRNA". From Rfam's summary of the family: Transfer RNA (tRNA) molecules are approximately 80 nucleotides in length. Their secondary structure includes four short double-helical elements and three loops (D, anti-codon, and T loops). The record is from RNAcentral. Lineage: Eukaryota; Fungi; Ascomycota; Lecanoromycetes; Lecanorales; Parmeliaceae.